RNAcentral lists this ribosomal RNA (816 nucleotides) under Harringtonia aguacate. Its description in RNAcentral is "Raffaelea aguacate partial large subunit ribosomal RNA". It matches the Rfam family "Eukaryotic large subunit ribosomal RNA", at positions 79 to 923 of the family's 3401-position model. Lineage: Eukaryota; Fungi; Ascomycota; Sordariomycetes; Ophiostomatales; Ophiostomataceae. The record is from RNAcentral.
CCCAGUAACGGCGAGUGAAGCGGCAACAGCUCAGAUUUGAAAUCUGGCCCCCCGCGGGCCCGAGUUGUACUUUGGAGAGGACGCUUCUGGCGCGGCGCCGGCCGAGUGCCCUGGAACGGGCCGCCGGAGAGGGUGAGAGCCCCGUACGGCCGGCCGCCUAGCCUCUGCGAAGCUCCUUCGACGAGUCGAGUAGUUUGGGAAUGCUGCUCAAAAUGGGAGGUAAAUUUCUUCUAAAGCUAAAUACCGGCCAGAGACCGAUAGCGCACAAGUAGAGUGAUCGAAAGAUGAAAAGCACUUUGAAAAGAGGGUUAAACAGUACGUGAAAUUGCUGAAAGGGAAGCGCCUGUGGCCAGACUUGCGCCCCGCGGACCACCCGGCGCCCGCGCCGGGGCACGCCGCGGGGCGCAGGCCAGCAUCGGCUCUCCCAGGGGGACAAAGGCCGCGGGAACGUAGCGCCCUCGGGCGUGUUACAGCCCGCGGCGCCAUGCCCCUGGGGGGGCCGAGGACCGCGCUCCGGCAAGGAUGCUGGCGUAAUGGCCACCGGCGACCCGUCUUGAAACACGGACCAAGGAGUCAAGCAGUGGGGCGAGUGUCUGGGUGGCAAACCCGCACGCGGAAUGAAAGUGAACGCAGGUGGGAGCUUCGGCGCACCACCGACCGAUCCUGAUGUCUUCGGAUGGAUUUGAGUAGGAGCCUUGCCGCUUGGACCCGAAAGAUGGUGAACUAUGCCUGUAUAGGGUGAAGCCAGAGGAAACUCUGGUGGAGGCUCGCAGCGGUUCUGACGUGCAAAUCGAUCGUCAAAUAUGGGCAUGGGGG